Molecule: ribosomal RNA, 1644 nt
Filed under: Triticum aestivum (bread wheat)
Lineage: Eukaryota; Viridiplantae; Streptophyta; Magnoliopsida; Poales; Poaceae
Description: partial small subunit ribosomal RNA
Source: RNAcentral
AUGAAGAUGAUCCUCCUUUCACUGUGGAUCCAAAAUACAUUGGAGCCAUCUGCUAAUUGUGGCCUGCCUGGUCAUUUUGUGGGCAUGUGCUCCAUUCCCAAGAUUUGUUUCAUGUGUAAGACCCCUGGACACCAUAUGGAUGCUUGGCCCACCUGGUACAAAGCAUACCCAUCAGCUAUGUAUUGGGGGAGUGCAAAUACUGGACUUGGGUUCUUUCACAUUGAAACUAGUGAUAAAGAAGACAGUGAGUGGCUUAAUUUUGGCAAUGUGGGGCUAGUUCUUGUUGAAAAAGGUGAAAUUUCUGGUAAGGAGCUAGGACAUCACUUCUCUGAUAUGUGGAAGACUAACUGGCCUUGGCAGAUCAGACCUUAUGACAAAAACAAGUACAUUAUCAGAUUCCCUCCAAACAAAAAUAUUAAGGACUCGGUGGAAUACCCUUCAAUUAAUCUAAAGAAGGAAGGAGUGGCAAUCUCUUUUGCUGAUUGGAAUGGUGAGCAUCCUGUCUAUGACAGUCUGAUAGAAACUUGGAUUGUCAUUGAUGGCCUUCCACCAAAAUGGCUCUCUUGGUCGACUAUUGCUCAAGUGGCCACCACUCUGGGAGUGCUUGUCAAUGUUGACUGGCAUACCAUCUUCAGAAGUUUCUAUGAGAAAGUUAGGGUCCAGGUGGCUGUUAGAGACCCCAGCAAGAUCCCCAGAGACAGAGUUGUAGAGAUCAAUCAUGAGCUAUAUUUGCUGAAUUUUUCUGUGGAGAGAGAUGCUGAUAAUGGGACCACCUCAGACAAGCCAUCUGAUCCUGAUGAUAAUGAUGAUGAUUCAAACAAAAAGAAACAAGAAGAGGAGGAUUUUGAUUCUAGCAAUGAUGACUUACUGGGGGAGGAUAUGGAUACUGGGACUAGUAACACUAUCAACAAAGAUAAGAAUGUUGCUACCGGUACUGGUUCCAGAGGGCCAAAGUCUUUACAAAAAUGCUGCACCCCUGUCCCUGAGAGCAAUAUAGAAGCUUCUGUCUUCUCUAAAGUUCAAGGGGCCCCAAUGACCAAAAGCUAUCUGGAGGUUGUCAAAAAGAAGCCAAUAGAAAACAUGGGAGGUCCCCUCCUGGAGAGAUUUGAGGCUGUAGUUACUCAAUCCCACACCCUUCCCCAAACAUCUGACAAAAACAAGAAGUGGGGUCCUGUGAUUGCUACUAGAGCUAGCACCAGAAAUAAGAAAGAUGGGAGACCUACUCUGCAGAAAGCCCAAGAAUUGAAACAAAUCAAAGAUCUGGACCUACCAAAAAAAGGUGAGCUGAAUGAUAUUUGGAAGAAAGAAGAGAUCAAAGCUAGACAGUGGUCUAGGGAGAGGGAGAUCCUAGAAGGUGACCUUAAUACUGGGUAUUUCAAAGCGGUGGCAAGCCAAAAAAGGAGGAAGAAGCAGAUCCUGAUGCUUGAAAGUGAUGAAGAUAUUAUGGCGAAAAACAGCUUCCAUUUUGGCCUCGUGGGAGAUCAGGUGCGCGGACCCCGCCAAAAGGAGAUGUCAUCUCCUGGUGCAACAUCUGGAACAAAUGGCGCGAGCACCGCCCCUCCUUCUGUGGCCAGACCCUGGCUAGGGUUGAACCAAUGCUCUGGAGCGACAAGACCUUGCUUCAGGCCUGGAGUCUCGCUCUGA